RNAcentral lists this transfer RNA (74 nucleotides) under Treponema sp. Its description in RNAcentral is "tRNA-Arg". It matches the Rfam family "tRNA". Rfam says of the family: Transfer RNA (tRNA) molecules are approximately 80 nucleotides in length. Their secondary structure includes four short double-helical elements and three loops (D, anti-codon, and T loops). Further hydrogen bonds mediate the characteristic L-shaped molecular structure. tRNAs have two regions of fundamental functional importance: the anti-codon, which is responsible for specific mRNA codon recognition, and the 3' end, to which the tRNAs corresponding amino acid is attached (by aminoacyl-tRNA synthetases). tRNAs cope with the degeneracy of the genetic code in two manners: having more than one tRNA (with a specific anti-codon) for a particular amino acid; and 'wobble' base-pairing, i.e. permitting non-standard base-pairing at the 3rd anti-codon position. RNAcentral also lists the same sequence under 1 other name. The record is from RNAcentral. Lineage: Bacteria; Pseudomonadati; Spirochaetota; Spirochaetia; Treponematales; Treponemataceae.
GCGUUCGUAGCUCAGCUGGAUAGAGCGACGGACUUCGAAUCCGUAGGCCGCAGGUUCGAGUCCUGUCGGACGCA